CCAUUCUCAGUUCGGAUUGCAGGCUGCAACUCGCCUGCAUGAAGCCGGAAUCGCUAGUAAUCGCGGAUCAGCAUGCCGCGGUGAAUACGUUCCCGGGCCUUGUACACACCGCCCGUCACACCACGAGAGUUUGUAACACCCGAAGUCGGUGAGGUAACCUUCAUGGAGCCAGCCGCCUAAGGUGGGACAGAUGAGUGGGGUGAAGUCGUAACAAGGUAGCCGUAUCGGAAGGUGCGGCUGGAUCACCUCCUUUCUAAGGA
RNAcentral lists this ribosomal RNA (260 nucleotides) under Bacillus sp. mrc49. RNAcentral's name for it is "partial 16S ribosomal RNA". It matches the Rfam family "Bacterial small subunit ribosomal RNA", at positions 1282 to 1533 of the family's 1533-position model. The record is from RNAcentral. Lineage: Bacteria; Bacillati; Bacillota; Bacilli; Caryophanales; Bacillaceae.